RNAcentral lists this ribosomal RNA (626 nucleotides) under Bathymophila sp. 5 LS-2013. RNAcentral's name for it is "partial 12S ribosomal RNA". Lineage: Eukaryota; Metazoa; Mollusca; Gastropoda; Trochida; Solariellidae. The record is from RNAcentral.
GACAAACGGAUCAAAUUAAAAUUAAUGAUAGUAAAAAAGGAGGUUAUAGAUUUAUUUUAGAAAAAUAAUGCUCUUUAGAGAGGUGAAAUUUAGAUAAAGAGAGGUAAAUUGGGUUUUUCUUUUUUUGACGCCUCGAAAUUUUGUUUAUGAGACCGGGAUUAGAUACCCCGUUAUUCAAAAUGUAAACUUUGAUUGUAUUUAUGAUUUACUUGAGUAUUACGAGUAUAAAAGAUUUGUCUUUAUAUAUUUCUUAAAACUCAAAAAACUUGGCGGUGCCUAUAUCCUUCCAGGGGAACCUGUCCUAUAAUCGAUAGUCCACGAUUUAACUUUCUUUCUUUUGAAUUUAUUAUCAGCUUGUAUACCGUCGUCGUCAGGUUACCUUUAAGAGUUAUGAAGUUAUCGGUGAGAAUUAGAAAGAAAUUUAAAUUUAUAAUAUGUAGGUUAUGGUUUAAUUUAUAUGAGUUCUAGACGUCAGAUCAAGGUGCAGCUUAUAGGGAAGUAGAGAUGGGUUACAAUAAUGAGUUAUUAUACGAAUUUUUGUUGUAAGUAGCAAAAUUGAAGGAGGACUUGGAAGUAAUUAGUUUAAAGAUAAGAGAGCUUAAAUGAAAAUAGGCUCUGAGGUGCGC